This 919-nucleotide ribosomal RNA is filed under the name Thalassobacillus sp. RNAcentral describes it as "bacterial SSU rRNA". It matches the Rfam family "Bacterial small subunit ribosomal RNA", at positions 49 to 873 of the family's 1533-position model. Lineage: Bacteria; Bacillati; Bacillota; Bacilli; Caryophanales; Bacillaceae. The record is from RNAcentral.
CUAUACAUGCAAGUACGAGCGCAGGAGCAAAGGGGAUCCCCUUCGGGGGUGACGCUUGUGGAAUGAGCGGCGGACGGGUGAGUAACACGUGGGCAACCUGCCUGUAAGAUGCUGGGAUAACCCCGGGAAACCGGGGCUAAUACCGGGUAAUACCUGAGCUGCCAGCAUGGAGUCGGGCAUUGAAAGAUGGCUUCUCGCUAUCACUUACAGAUGGGCCCGCGGCGCAUUAGCUAGUUGGUGASGUAACGGCUCACCAAGGCGACGAUGCGUAGCCGACCUGAGAGGGUAGACUCGUGCCACACUGGGACUGAGACACGGCCCAGACUCCUACGGGAGGUCGAGCAAGUCCCAGGGAAUCUUCCGCAAUGGACGAAAGUCUGCACGGAGCAACGCCGCGUGAACGAUGAAGGUCUUCGGAUCGUAAAGUUCUGUUGUCAGGGAAGAACAAGUACCGCUGCGAAUAGAGCGGUACCUUGACGGUACCUGACCAGAAAGCCACGGCUAACUACGAGAGUUGCCAGCAGCCGCGGUAAUACGUAGGUGGCAAGCGUUGUCCGGAAUUAUUGGGCGUAAAGCGCGCGCAUUGGCGGUUUCUUAAGUCUGAUGUGAAAGCCCCCGGCUCAACCGGGGAGGGUCAUUGGAAACUGGGGAACUUGAGUACAGAAGAGGAGAGUGGAAUUCCACGUGUAGCGGUGAAAUGCGUAGAUAUGUGGAGGAACACCAGUGGCGGAAGGCGACUCUCUGGUCUGUAAACUGACGCUGAGGCGCGAAAGCGUGGGGGAGCGAACAGGAUUAGAUACCCUGGUAGUCCACGCCCGUAAACGAUGAGUGCUAGGUGUUAGGGGGGCUUCCACCCCUUAGUGGCUGAAGUUAACCGCCAUUAAGCACUCCGCCGGGGGAAGUACGGGCCGCAGGGUGA